RNAcentral lists this long non-coding RNA (870 nucleotides) under Pan troglodytes (chimpanzee). Its description in RNAcentral is "lncRNA (ENSPTRG00000052899.1)". The record is from RNAcentral. Lineage: Eukaryota; Metazoa; Chordata; Mammalia; Primates; Hominidae.
GUUGGCCAGGCCCUUCUUGAUGCUGAAUGGCAGGAGGACUUUGAAGAAGUGACAGGGUCAGAGGUGCCAUCCAGAAAGAUCACCCUGAUCAGAGCUGGGAGAAUGGAGGUGCCGGGCAGGAGCAGAUGCCAGGGCCGGCUUGGAGGCAACUGGAAUACUCCAGGCAAGAGGACGGAGUCCAAGGCCAGGGUGGGAGAAGGGGUUGGGAAGCCCUGCAGGGGGUAGAAUGGACUCAAGAUUUGAAAUUGGGGCAGGGAGUGGGAAACAGUGUCAGUCAUGAGCCCCUGGGUGCUGCCUCGUGGACCAAAUGGAUGCUGGUGCCAUUGACUGCAAUAGAAUCCUGGGGAGCGACCAGAGCGAGGUGGCAAAGAGAUAGGGAGAGAGAGAGAAUGUGUGUGUGUGUGUGUGUGUGUGUGUGUGUGAGCGAGGUGGCAAAGAGAUAGGGAGAGAGAGAGAAUGUGUGUGUGUGUGUGAGUCUGACUGCAUGUUUGUCUGAGAUGUGUGUAUGUUAAUUAUUAGCCCAGGCCAGGCGCAGUGGCUAACGCCUGUAAUCCCAACCCUUUGGGAGGCUGAGGUGGGUGGAUCACCGGAGGUCAGGAGUUUGAGACCAGCCUGGGCAAUAUGGUGAAAACCCUGUCUCUACUGAAAUAUAAAAAAUUAGCCAAAUUAGUCAGGUGUAGUUGUGGGCACCUGUAAUCCCAGCUACUCAGGAGGCUGAGGCACGAGAAUUGCUUGAACCUGAGAGGCAGAGGUUGCAGUGAACCCAGAUAGCACCACUGCAUUCCAGCCUGGGCAACAGAGUGAGAUUCUGUCUCCAAAAAUAAUAAUAAUAAUAAUGAUGAUGAUGAGCGCAGAUUGUGGUCAGUGUAA